UGAGUAACACGUGGGCAAUCUGCCCUGCACUUCGGGAUAAGCCUGGGAAACUGGGUCUAAUACCGGAUAGGACCUUUAGNCGCAUGNCUUUUGGUGGAAAGCUUUUGCGGUGUGGGAUGGGCCCGCGGCCUAUCAGCUUGUUGGUGGGGUGAUGGCCUACCAAGGCGACGACGGGUAGCCGGCCUGAGAGGGUGUCCGGCCACACUGGGACUGAGAUACGGCCCAGACUCCUACGGGAGGCAGCAGUGGGGAAUAUUGCACAAUGGGCGCAAGCCUGAUGCAGCGACGCCGCGUGGGGGAUGACGGCCUUCGGGUUGUAAACCUCUUUCACCAUCGACGAAGGUNCGGGUUUUCUCGGAUUGACGGUAGGUGGAGAAGAAGCACCGGCCAACUACGUGCCAGCAGCCGCGGUAAUACGUAGGGUGCGAGCGUUGUCCGGAAUUACUGGGCGUAAAGAGCUCGUAGGUGGUUUGUCGCGUUGUUCGUGAAAUCUCACGGCUUAACUGUGAGCGUGCGGGCGAUACGGGCAGACUAGAGUACUGCAGGGGAGACUGGAAUUCCUGGUGUAGCGGUGGAAUGCGCAGAUAUCAGGAGGAACACCGGUGGCGAAGGCGGGUCUCUGGGCAGUAACUGACGCUGAGGAGCGAAAGCGUGGGGAGCGAACAGGAUUAGAUACCCUGGUAGUCCACGCCGUAAACGGUGGGUACUAGGUGUGGGUUUCCUUCCUUGGGAUCCGUGCCGUAGCUAACGCAUUAAGUACCCCGCCUGGGGAGUACGGCCGCAAGGCUAAAACUCAAAGGAAUUGACGGGGGCCCGCACAA
Molecule: ribosomal RNA, 821 nt
Filed under: Mycobacterium sp.
Lineage: Bacteria; Bacillati; Actinomycetota; Actinomycetes; Mycobacteriales; Mycobacteriaceae
Description: bacterial SSU rRNA
Rfam family: Bacterial small subunit ribosomal RNA
Source: RNAcentral